UAAUCAUUGUUUUUUUUUCCUGAUGAUUUAAUACAAAUGUUCUUUUUAGUGCUACUGUUGCUGCCAUGUUAAAGCAUCUUCUUUUCUCAGGCAUGCCAAGAGCUACCGCAAAGAGAAGAAAACAGGGUGUCUCUUAACUCUACUUUCCUGGGGCUGGCAGUGGGCUGGAAGCUGAGACCUGCCCAUCCGCCUGGUGCUUGUGAGCAAGGCUCCCUCACACGCUGUUUUGAUCCAGGUUGGGAGUAACCUUC
This 251-nucleotide long non-coding RNA is filed under the name Anas platyrhynchos platyrhynchos (common mallard). Its description in RNAcentral is "lncRNA (ENSAPLG00000016777.1)". Lineage: Eukaryota; Metazoa; Chordata; Aves; Anseriformes; Anatidae. The record is from RNAcentral.